GUGCCAGCAGCCGCGGUAAUACCGGCAGCCCGAGUGAUGGCCGAUCUUAUUGGGCCUAAAGCGUCCGUAGCUGGCUGCGCAAGUCCGUCGGGAAAUCCACUCGCCCAACGAGUGGGCGUCCGACGGAAACUGCACAGCUUGGGACCGGAAGGCUCGAAGGGUACGUUCGGGGUAGGAGUGAAAUCCCAUAAUCCCGCACGGACCACCGGUGGCGAAAGCGCCUCGAGAAGACGGACCCGACGGUGAGGAACGAAAGCCAGGGUCUCGAACCGGAUUAGAAACCCGAGUAGUCC
This 293-nucleotide ribosomal RNA is filed under the name uncultured bacterium. RNAcentral's name for it is "partial 16S ribosomal RNA". It matches the Rfam family "Archaeal small subunit ribosomal RNA", at positions 455 to 747 of the family's 1478-position model. The record is from RNAcentral.